GUCGUAGAAGGCCCAUUCCCAUACGUCCGGGCACGCCCCCACAAGCUCGCCCCCUUCCUGCAUUGCCGCCGUAAUCCUCUGUUGCUGUUGUCUUGGAUGUGGUAGCAGGUUCAGUCCAUUCUAUCUUCAGGCUCAAGAACUAUUCUUGCUCUAUGAAGAUCUUUUACUGAUACUAGGGAUGGUUUAACACUGUAUUCAGGAGCCAGGACAUUUAACAAGCAAGGUUUUCACACUGGAUGGUCAAGGCGUUGGCGAGGAGUGUGAAGAGUAUCGCCUCAUGAUUAGCAAGACCUUGAGAAGUGAGGAGGAAGGAUAUCAGUUCUGCAAUGAGUAUCGGAUGAGACCACUAGCUCGUAUAUAUGGCCGCGUGAGAUUUAGCUAAAUUUGUGUAACAAUUCAACUGCAGGCUCGGAUGAAUGGUGUUUUUCAGGUGAUUGUCUGAUUGUGCUUCGGCGGCGUCAUCAUUCCAGAAAAGGGUUGUCAUGUCUACAUAUAUACCACACACAUAAAUUAGCUUAUUUUGUGAUAUACUUCCUGAAUUUUGAGCAUCAGAUGAGUUUGUGUCCUAUAUUAGAAGAAGGGUUGUGGGUGACGUAUACUGCUGUAAAUGAUUGUAACCACAUUGUUUUGCUCAGGAAUAAAGU
Molecule: long non-coding RNA, 644 nt
Organism: Lolium rigidum
Lineage: Eukaryota; Viridiplantae; Streptophyta; Magnoliopsida; Poales; Poaceae
Exons: 3
Source: RefSeq, a predicted model, not a curated record